RNAcentral lists this ribosomal RNA (550 nucleotides) under uncultured bacterium. RNAcentral's name for it is "bacterial SSU rRNA". It matches the Rfam family "Bacterial small subunit ribosomal RNA", at positions 355 to 896 of the family's 1533-position model. The record is from RNAcentral.
UAGGGAAUCUUCGGCAAUGGACGGAAGUCUGACCGAGCAACGCCGCGUGAGUGAAGAAGGUUUUCGGAUCGUAAAGCUCUGUUGUAAGAGAAGAACGAGUGUGAGAGUGGAAAGUUCACACUAUGACGGUAUCUUACCAGAAAGGGACGGCUAACUACGUGCCAGCAGCCGCGGUAAUACGUAGGUCCCGAGCGUUGUCCGGAUUUAUUGGGCGUAAAGCGAGCGCAGGCGGUUAGAUAAGUCUGAAGUUAAAGGCUGUGGCUUAACCAUAGUACGCUUUGGAAACUGUUUAACUUGAGUGCAAGAGGGGAGAGUGGAAUUCCAUGUGUAGCGGUGAAAUGCGUAGAUAUAUGGAGGAACACCGGUGGCGAAAGCGGCUCUCUGGCUUGUAACUGACGCUGAGGCUCGAAAGCGUGGGGAGCAAACAGGAUUAGAUACCCUGGUAGUCCACGCCGUAAACGAUGAGUGCUAGGUGUUAGACCCUUUCCGGGGUUUAGUGCCGCAGCUAACGCAUUAAGCACUCCGCCUGGGGAGUACGACCGCAAGGUUG